This 1443-nucleotide ribosomal RNA is filed under the name uncultured organism. Its description in RNAcentral is "SSU rRNA". It matches the Rfam family "Bacterial small subunit ribosomal RNA". The record is from RNAcentral.
CGAACGCUGGCGGCGUGCUUAACACAUGCAAGUCGAACGGAAAGGCCCUGCUUUUGUGGGGUGCUCGAGUGGCGAACGGGUGAGUAACACGUGAGUAACCUGCCCUUGACUUUGGGAUAACUUCAGGAAACUGGGGCUAAUACCGGAUAGGAGCUCCUGCUGCAUGGUGGGGGUUGGAAAGUUUCGGCGGUUGGGGAUGGACUCGCGGCUUAUCAGCUUGUUGGUGGGGUAGUGGCUUACCAAGGCUUUGACGGGUAGCCGGCCUGAGAGGGUGACCGGCCACAUUGGGACUGAGAUACGGCCCAGACUCCUACGGGAGGCAGCAGUGGGGAAUAUUGCACAAUGGGCGGAAGCCUGAUGCAGCAACGCCGCGUGCGGGAUGACGGCCUUCGGGUUGUAAACCGCUUUCGCCUGUGACGAAGCGUGAGUGACGGUAAUGGGUAAAGAAGCACCGGCUAACUACGUGCCAGCAGCCGCGGUGAUACGUAGGGUGCGAGCGUUGUCCGGAUUUAUUGGGCGUAAAGGGCUCGUAGGUGGUUGAUCGCGUCGGAAGUGUAAUCUUGGGGCUUAACCCUGAGCGUGCUUUCGAUACGGGUUGACUUGAGGAAGGUAGGGGAGAAUGGAAUUCCUGGUGGAGCGGUGGAAUGCGCAGAUAUCAGGAGGAACACCAGUGGCGAAGGCGGUUCUCUGGGCCUUUCCUGACCCUGAGGAGCGAAAGCGUGGGGGAGCGAACAGGCUUAGAUACCCUGGUAGUCCACGCUGUAAACGGUGGGUACUAGGUGUGGGGGUCCAUUCCACGGGUUCCGUGCCGUAGCUAACGCUUUAAGUACCCCGCCUGGGGAGUACGGCCGCAAGGCUAAAACUCAAAGGAAUUGACGGGGCCCCGCACAAGCGGCGGAGCAUGCGGAUUAAUUCGAUGCAACGCGUAGAACCUUACCUGGGUUUGACAUGGAUCGGGAGUGCUCAGAGAUGGGUGUGCCUCUUUUGGGGUCGGUUCACAGGUGGUGCAUGGCUGUCGUCAGCUCGUGUCGUGAGAUGUUGGGUUAAGUCCCGCAACGAGCGCAACCCUUGUUCACUGUUGCCAGCACGUUAUGGUGGGGACUCAGUGGAGACCGCCGGGGUCAACUCGGAGGAAGGUGGGGAUGACGUCAAGUCAUCAUGCCCCUUAUGUCCAGGGCUUCACGCAUGCUACAAUGGCUGGUACAGAGAGUGGCGAGCCUGUGAGGGUGAGCGAAUCUCGGAAAGCCGGUCUCAGUUCGGAUUGGGGUCUGCAACUCGACCCCAUGAAGUCGGAGUCGCUAGUAAUCGCAGAUCAGCAACGCUGCGGUGAAUACGUUCCCGGGGCUUGUACACACCGCCCGUCAAGUCAUGAAAGUUGGUAACACCCGAAGCCGGUGGCCUAACCGUUGUGGGGGAGCCGUCGAAGGUGGGACUGGUGAUUAG